This 254-nucleotide ribosomal RNA is filed under the name uncultured bacterium. RNAcentral's name for it is "partial 16S ribosomal RNA". It matches the Rfam family "Bacterial small subunit ribosomal RNA", at positions 524 to 776 of the family's 1533-position model. The record is from RNAcentral.
UACGGAGGGUGCAAGCGUUGCUCGGAAUUAUUGGGCGUAAAGGGUAGGUAGGUGGUCUCAUUUGUCUGGGGUGAAAGCCUUGAGCUUAACUCAAGAAGUGCCCCAGAAAACGGUGAGACUGGAGUUCUGGAGAGGGUCGUGGAAUUCCCGGUGUAGCGGUGAAAUGCGUAGAGAUCGGGAGGAACACCAGAGGCGAAGGCGGCGACCUGGACAGAUACUGACACUGAACUACGAAAGCGUGGGGAGCAAACAGG